Molecule: ribosomal RNA, 853 nt
Filed under: uncultured bacterium
Lineage: Bacteria
Description: bacterial SSU rRNA
Rfam family: Bacterial small subunit ribosomal RNA
Source: RNAcentral
GAUGAACGCUGGCGGCGUGCCUAACACAUGCAAGUCGAGCGGGGGAGUCCUUCGGGACACUCCAGCGGCGGACGGGUGAGUAACGCGUGGGUAAUCUGCCGUGGAAACGGGGAUAACAGUUGGAAACGACUGCUAAUACCCGAUAAGCUCACAGUGUUGCAUAACACAGUGAGAAAAGGACGUCAAAAUCCGAUUCACGAGGAGCCCGCGUCUGAUUAGCCGGUUGGUGGGGUAACGGCCUACCAAAGCAACGAUCAGUAGCCGACCUGAGAGGGUGAUCGGCCACAUUGGGACUGAGACACGGCCCAAACUCCUACGGGAGGCAGCAGUGGGGAAUAUUGCACAAUGGACGGAAGUCUGAUGCAGCAACGCCGCGUGAGGGAAGAAGGUUUUCGGAUCGUAAACCUCUAUCAACAGGGACGAAAGAAAUGACGGUACCUGAGUAAGAAGCCCCGGCUAACUACGUGCCAGCAGCCGCGGUAAAACGUAGGGGGCAAGCGUUAUCCGGAAUUACUGGGUGUAAAGGGUGAGUAGGCGGUUCGACAAGUCACAUGUGAAAUCCCGAGGCUUAACCUGGGGACUGCAUGAGAAACUGACGGACUAGAGUACAGGAGAGGUAAGCGGAAUUCUUAGUGUAGCGGUGAAAUGCGUAGAUAUUAAGAAGAACACCAGUGGCGAAGGCGGCUUACUGGACUGAAACUGACGCUGAGUCACGAAAGCGUGGGGAGCGAACAGGAUUAGAUACCCUGGUAGUCCACGCCGUAAACGAUGAUUGCUAGGUGUUGGCGCGAGAGCGUCGGUGCCGGAGUAAACACAAUAAGCAAUCCACCUGGGGAGUACGGCCGCAAGGCUG